UGAAAAAGCAAAGCCCUCCCCCCCUUUUCUCUCUCUAUCUCUAUCUGAGGCGACCCAAAAUAAGAGGGGAGGAAGAGUGAGAAAGUGGCGAAAGAAAAUGGUUGAGAGAGAAAGAGAGGGUGAUGCUGAUGAUGGGAGAGAGGUUGAUUGAGAACGAUAAGAGUGUUGCCUAGGAAGGAGAAAAGGAGAAAGAAGGUAGAGUACAGAUACAGGGACGAAGGCGAAGGGAGUUAGUCUGGUAAACCAACCAGUUGAGAGAGAGAGAGAGAGAGAGAGAGAGAGAGAGAGGUUGGUUUCUGCCAAGAAACUGAGAAGGAAGUUUUUUUUUUUUCUUUUUUCUUUUUGUGGUGAACGAGAGAGAGAGGGCAAUGUGAAAUUUGGGGCCUGGAAUGCAUCAGAAGAAGUCGGAAUUACAGAUCGGAACCGAAAGCAGAGGUGUUUCCUCCGGUUUCAGCCGAGCACCGCCUCUCCACCACCACCAUCAGCAGCAACAGCCGAAUGAUACCCUAAUCUCGACAACCCACAAGCGGGCCAUGACAUCCACGCCUUCCUCCCUCUCCCGUUCCCCGACCCUCUCCUCCCUCCCCAUCACUCCGGCCGGUGCGACCACCUCCUCCGCCUCUCCCGCCACCGCCUCCAGCGCCACCACCAACACCGCCGUUACCUCCUUCCGUUCGCCUCCAUUUGCGGUGGCGCCGUCUGCGUCCUUCCUGCGAUUCCUCCGCCGAUUAUCCUUACACCACCACUACUACCAUCACCAUCUCAAGCCUCGGUUCCUCCUCCCACCUUCGCUCAUCAUCGCUGUCCCCGCCUUCUGGUGGUUCUUCAAAACCUCCCCGUCCGAACUCGGCCUCUGGUUCGAUUUCUUCUCGGCCCUUGCCUUUGCGGCCGCCCUCCUCCUCUCCUUUCGUUUCUCCUUCCCUCGCCUUUCACUUAUCCGCCUCAUCAAGCCAGUUUCUUCCCUCCUUCCUUCCUAUGAACGCCUCAAACUCAAAUCCUCUUCACACUCCCACCAUGUUCAGUGGACCAUCGGCUCCAAAGCGAGGCCGGAGAAGAUGUCCGCCAUUAACGCCAGGGAAGGUGUGAUUGUUUACAGCAAUGGGGACGUAUACGAGGGUGAAUUCCAUAAGGGGAAGUGUUCCGGCAGCGGCGUCUACUACUACUGUAUGAGUGGUCGCUAUGAGGGAGAUUGGGUCGAUGAGAAGUAUGACGGCUAUGGUGUGGAGACAUGGGCAAGGGGAAGCAGAUACAGAGGGCAGUACAGGCAGGGAUUGAGGCACGGUUAUGGAGUUUAUCGGUUCUAUACCGGCGAUGUGUAUGCCGGGGAGUGGUCGAAUGGGCAAAGCCAUGGAUACGGAGUUCACACCUGCGAGGAUGGUAGCCGGUAUGUCGGGGAGUUCAAGUGGGGGGUCAAGCAUGGUCUCGGGCAUUACCAUUUCAGGAAUGGAGACACAUAUGCUGGAGAAUAUUUUGCAGACAAGAUGCAUGGCUUUGGAGUUUAUCGUUUCGCAAAUGGUCACAGAUACGAAGGAGCCUGGCAUGAGGGUAGGAAGCAGGGGCUUGGGAUGUACACAUUCAGGAAUGGCGAGACACAGUCAGGCCAUUGGCAGAACGGCAACCUUGAGACACCAAGUACACAGAAUACCCAUCCGGGGUCUCCAAUUGCUGUUAAUCAUUCAAAAGUGCUCAAUGCUGUCCAGGAAGCACGGCGAGCAGCAGAAAAGGCAUAUGAGGUGCCAAAAGUAGAUGAAAGAGUGAAUAAGGCAGUUGCAGGAGCCAAUCGAGCAGCUAAUGCUGCAAGAGUGGCAGCAGUUAAAGCUGUUCAGAAAAGAAUGCACAAGGAUGAUAUAGCAGCACAGAUGGUGUGAAUUUUUUUUGUUACACUGUCACCAGUUCAUUCAAACAAAAAACUUGGUCGAGGCUACGUUGUAGACGGAAUGUGGCUACAACUUACAAGGGUUUGGCUGAUGCUCUCACAAGCCUUUUGAGUACUCUAACAAGUGGCGCUGCUAGUAGACAAUCCCAUCUUGGGUAUGGCAGUUCCGCAUGGAGAAGCCCCCAAAGCCUUCUAUUCAGUAAGAAGUGCCAAGCAAUUCAUGCACCGAGGAGAGCAAACAAAAAUAGCAGCUACAAGACAGAACCCAAGGCGGGCAAAAAACCGCUACUAAUAAAAAAGAAGGAAGCAUAUAAAUAAAGCUCUAACGCAGUCUUUCUUCCGGAGUGAUGCGGAGUUCAGAGACGAGCACGGAGAGGCUCUAAAGAGUUCCAAAAGGAAGCUCUCCCUUCCAGCAUGCAUUUCAAUCUUCUAAUCCAAUCCUUCCUUCCUGUUUGAGCCGAUUAUAUCAGA
This is an RNA transcript of Nymphaea colorata (pocket water lily), 2347 nucleotides long. RefSeq lists it as uncharacterized. The transcript has 4 exons. Lineage: Eukaryota; Viridiplantae; Streptophyta; Magnoliopsida; Nymphaeales; Nymphaeaceae. The record is from RefSeq and is a predicted model, not a curated record.